This 984-nucleotide long non-coding RNA is filed under the name Trifolium pratense (red clover). RNAcentral describes it as "long non-coding RNA (TPRA_LNC013282)". The record is from RNAcentral. Lineage: Eukaryota; Viridiplantae; Streptophyta; Magnoliopsida; Fabales; Fabaceae.
UUUUAUACAUACAUCUAAGAAACAUUAAUUUAAUAAUAGUUUCAUAUUAACAAGCAUGAACUUUUUUUCAUGCUAUAAAGCUAACAAAUGAUUCCUAUUUCUAGAUACAUAAAAGAAAAAAUAUGGUUAAAGUUUAUAUGUUUAUUUAUACUAUGAUUUUCUUCUUUUCCAUAUUUAUUUCUAUANNNNNNNNNNNNNNNNNNNNNNNNNNNNNNNNNNAAUAUCAUGUUUUUAUAUUAAUUUAUAGGGUUAAAUAAAUAUUUUAUCCCUAUAAAUACGUCAAAUGUUUUCUUAGUUCCAACAAAAAAUUUCAGUAAAUUUUAAUCCUCAAAUCUCUUUCGUACAAUUUUACGUCCCUGCUUUUAAGUCAACUAAUCUAUAUAUAGUUUUUCGUUUACAAUGGAGUGAUCCGUAAGAAUCAAACUUAGAACUUUAUAUGCAUACUAUUCAAAUCUUUUACCACUAUAGAUCAAACCUAGUGGAUUCUCAACUCAUGUAUAUUACUUGAAAUUUUUAUUAUUUUAUGCAUUCAUGGUUAGUACAUUAUAUAAACCUCUCUGACAAAAAUAUAAAUUCCCUAUCAAUCUUUUAUAAGUUUUAAUGAGUUUUUAUAUUUAUAUUUAUAUUUAUAAUAAUAUAAACAUCUCUCCCUCCAAGAUUUAGUUUUUUACAACAUAAUGGAUGAAUUAGAUAUGAAUUUUUAAGAUUUUUGCGCAUAGAAAAAUCAUAUUUAAUUCAUUUAAUAUAAAAAAUUCUAAAUUAUUGUGAAAGAGAUUUUUAUAUUAUUAUAAACAAAAAUAGAAAAAUUUAUUCAAAAAUAUCGAAGUAUACAUAAGUUGACUUAAAAAUAGGAAUCAAAAGUUAUCAAAUAAAAUAUUUGGGAGACCAAAUUAACUUGUUGAAAUUUUUUAUAUAGAUUAAAAAUAAAAUUUGAGAAUAUUUAUACGGUUCAAAAACUUGUUUAACCCUAAUUUUUAUCAAAAU